GUGAUUCUUGUAGUCCUCCCACAAGUGGAUAGAAGAGCAACAAAACUUCUAGUAGGCAAGUAGAAUGGUGACUCCUAGUAAAGAAGCCAGCAAGGCACAUGCUUCUGAAGAAGAGCACAUUGGCGGAGUGGUGACUCCCAGCACAUGUGCUGGCUCUAUCAUGGCCCUUAAAGGCACAUGCUUCGAGUGAAAGUGAGCUUGAUA
This 204-nucleotide unclassified non-coding RNA is filed under the name Hevea brasiliensis (rubber tree). Lineage: Eukaryota; Viridiplantae; Streptophyta; Magnoliopsida; Malpighiales; Euphorbiaceae. The record is from RNAcentral.